UACAGAGGUCUCAAGCGUUGUUCGGAUUCAUUGGGCGUAAAGGGUGCGUAGGCGGCGCGGUAAGUCGGGUGUGAAAUCUCGGAGCUUAACUCCGAAACUGCAUUCGAUACUGCCGUGCUUGAGGACUGGAGAGGAGACUGGAAUUUACGGUGUAGCGGUGAAAUGCGUAGAUAUCGUAAGGAAGACCAGUGGCGAAGGCGGGUCUCUGGACAGUUCCUGACACUGAGGCGCGAAAGCCAGGGGAGCGAACGGG
Molecule: ribosomal RNA, 253 nt
Filed under: uncultured bacterium
Lineage: Bacteria
Description: partial 16S ribosomal RNA
Rfam family: Bacterial small subunit ribosomal RNA
Source: RNAcentral